RNAcentral lists this ribosomal RNA (521 nucleotides) under uncultured bacterium. Its description in RNAcentral is "bacterial SSU rRNA". It matches the Rfam family "Bacterial small subunit ribosomal RNA", at positions 17 to 518 of the family's 1533-position model. The record is from RNAcentral.
UUAUGGCUCAGGAUAAACGCUGGCGGCGUGCUUAACACAUGCAAGUCGAACGGAGUAAUUCUCCCGAAGAUUGAAGAAGCUUGCUUCUGAAAGAUUCAUUUGAAUUACUUAGUGGCGGACGGGUGAGUAACGCGUGGGAAACCUGGCCCUAUACUGGGGGAUAGCAGUUGGAAACGACUGAUAAUACCGCAUAAGCGCACAGCUUCGCAUGAAGCAGUGUGAAAAACUCCGGUGGUAUAGGAUGGGUCCCGCGUCUGAUUUAGCUAGUUGGUGAGGUAACGGCCCACCCAAGGCAACGAUCAGUAGCCGGCCUGAGAGGGUGUACGGCCACAUUGGGACUGAGACACGGCCCAAACUCCUACGGGAGGCAGCAGUGGGGAAUAUUGGACAAUGGGGGAAACCCUGAUCCAAGCGACGCCGCGUGAACGAAGAAGUAUUUCGGUAUGUAAAGUUCUAUCAGCAGGGAAGAUAAUGACGGUACCUGACUAAGAAGCACCGGCUAAAUACGUGCCAGCAGCUGC